CACGUAGUUAGCCGGGGCUUCUUAGUCAGGUACUGUCACUUUCUUCCCUGCUGAUAGAGCUUUACAUACCGAGAUACUUCAUCGCUCACGCGGCGUCGCUGCAUCAGGGUUUCCCCCAUUGUGCAAUAUUCCCCACUGCUGCCUCCCGCAGGAGUCUGGGCCGUGUCUCAGUCCCAAUGUGGCCGGCCGCCCCCUCAGGCCGGCUACUGAUCGUCGCCUUGGUGGGCCGUUACCCCGCCAACGAGCUAAUCAGACGCGGGCCCAUCCCAUACCACCGGAGUUUUCCCCAGGAAGCUAUGCAGCCUCCUGGGCGUAUGCGGUAUUAGCAGCCGUUUCCGGCUGUUAUCCCCCGGUAUGGGGCAGGUUGCCCACGCGUUACUCACCCGUCCGCCACUCAGACAGUUACCGUUCCUCCCCGAAGGGAAUCCCUGUAACCGCUUCGUUCGACUUGCAUGUGUUAAGCACGCCGCCAGCGUUCAUCCUGAGCCAGGAUCAAACUCU
This 501-nucleotide ribosomal RNA is filed under the name uncultured Lachnospiraceae bacterium. RNAcentral's name for it is "partial 16S ribosomal RNA". Lineage: Bacteria; Bacillati; Bacillota; Clostridia; Lachnospirales; Lachnospiraceae. The record is from RNAcentral.